CCCUUAGACGUUCUGGGCCGCACGCGCGCUACACUGACCAGUGCAACAAGCAUCCGUCCUUGGCCGACAGGCCCGGGCAAUCUUUGAACGCUGGUCGUGAUGGGGAUAGACUUUUGCAAUUUUUGGUCUUCAACGAGGAAUUCCUAGUAAACGCAAGUCAUCAACUUGCAUUGAUUACGUCCCUGCCCUUUGUACACACCGCCCGUCGCACCUACCGAUUGAAUGGUCCGGUGAAGCCUCCGGAUUGGUCGCUUGCGUCCGACUGCUGAAACUUGAUUAAACCAUAUCAUUUAGAGGAAGGUGAANUCGUAACA
This 314-nucleotide ribosomal RNA is filed under the name uncultured eukaryote. RNAcentral describes it as "partial 18S ribosomal RNA". It matches the Rfam family "Eukaryotic small subunit ribosomal RNA", at positions 1470 to 1796 of the family's 1831-position model. The record is from RNAcentral.